UUCUCUCCGAUCAAACUUUUAAAUUUGACCUUCCAAGUAAACGAAACACAGAACCUGAGAUAUGAAUUGUGAAAAUUUCAGGAUGGUUACUUCAAGAUCAGGAGAGGAACGAACGAAUGUGGCAUUGAACACGGUGUUGUAGCCGGUUUACCUUCAGACAGGAACGUAUUUAAAGAUGUAACCACUUCAGAUGAUCUUCUGGUUUCCUCAUUUUAAACAAGAAGAUGUGUCUCUACUUCUUCUGUGAUACUAUAUACAACUGUUAAUAAAUUAGUUACCGAACUAAUGCAAUGAAUAAAUAAACAAUCAACAUGUUACAAAAAUACUUAUGACAUCAGAGAUGCAAAUUCCCCAAAUAAAAAGAAUAAAGGAAGGAAGUGUGAUUAGCAAUAGCAUGCAAGAGGACUGUUACAGUAUUUAUCGCCUAAAGUAAUCCCUUAAUUACUUUAAAUCAUUCGAAAUAAUGAUUAAUAAAUCAAGUAAGUAGAACAAAUCGAACGGUCAGGAUCUUCUAGCGAUCUGUCAUUCUCUAAAAGUCAAAAGAUAAGCCUCUUUAAUCUCUCUCUUUCUUAUUCCGUAUUAGAAAAGAAAACUUCCAUUAGAGAGAGAGAUACCUUGUCCAAACUCUCUGGCAAAUCAUUUGUUUGGUUUUUGGAGUUCGUUUAAGGGAUUGAGAAAAUAUCAACAGAAGAGAAAGAUUCAUGGCUGAUAAAUGUAUCAAACUUCACUUAGCCUCUGUUUUCUUCUUUUUAGGGCUUCUAAUUUCAUCCUUCAACUUGCAGGUACUUGAACCUUCAUAAUCUCUGUCUUCUUUUUACUUUUUCUGGGUUUGAUCAUUUUUGCUUAUUUGUUGGACUCUUUAAGCUACAAGUUUUAAACUUUUGAAGCUGGUUUGUCCCUUGAUCUCAGGGUAUUGCAGCAGAAAAUCUUUCCAAGCAGAAACUGACCUCAUGGAUUCUUCAGGUUUUUGAUCUUAAUCCACCCAAUUUUCUGUAUUGUUUUCGUCUCUUUUAGAUUGCCUUAUCGUUGAUGAUCGACUUUUGUAGAAUGAGAUCGUCAAGGAAGUCAAUGAGAAUCCAAACGCUGGAUGGAAAGCUGCUUUCAAUGAUCGGUUUGCAAACGCCACUGUGAGUUUCUUAUUAUUACCAAUUAAGAGCUACAGAGAUCUUAUCAAUGCUUAUCAAUGUUUCUGAAAAGUUUGUGUUUUUGUGUAUUAGGUUGCAGAGUUUAAGCGCCUCCUUGGUGUUAAACCAACACCAAAGACGGAAUUUUUGGGUGUACCUAUUGUGAGUCAUGAUAUAUCUUUGAAGCUUCCUAAAGAAUUUGAUGCUAGAACCGCUUGGUCACAGUGCACCAGUGUUGGAAGGAUCUUAGGUCUGUUUUCAUUUUUUUAGAUUUCCACUAUCUCUGUCUUUUAUCCAAAUUAUUUACUGACUCUUUUUAUGUUUUGUGUCAAAUUCUCUCCUCAAUUGUCUCACUAAAGAUCAGGUAAACACAUCAUUUGCUUGAGUUUUAUAUUGAACAGUGUGUUACUCAAGUGAUGAUAACAUUAUGGUUUUGGUUUGUUUAGGGUCAUUGUGGUUCUUGCUGGGCCUUUGGUGCUGUUGAAUCACUGUCUGACAGAUUCUGCAUCAAAUAUAACAUGGUAACACAGAUUUCUUAAUGAAGCCAAGAUUGAUGAUGUGUAGCGUCUUUCUUAUGGAAUGAUUAAUAUUAGUUUCUUUUGUUCCCAUGCAGAAUAUUUCUUUAUCUGUCAAUGAUCUCUUAGCAUGUUGUGGAUUCCUUUGCGGACAAGGUUGUAACGGUGGAUACCCAAUUGCUGCGUGGCGGUACUUUAAGCACCACGGUGUAGUAACUGAAGAGGUAAAUUCUCUUUUUACUGCAAUGAACAUAUAUUAAUGGCAAAGUAGUUAAAACGUAUUGAACUUUUGCAAUUUUCUUGGUUCUUCAGUGUGAUCCAUACUUUGACAAUACUGGCUGCUCUCACCCGGGAUGUGAACCCGCUUACCCUACACCAAAAUGUGCGAGGAAAUGUGUUAGCGGAAACCAGCUUUGGCGUGAAUCAAAACAUUAUGGUGUUAGCGCGUACAAGGUCAGAUCUCACCCUGAUGACAUUAUGGCAGAAGUUUACAAAAAUGGACCUGUUGAGGUUGCCUUUACUGUUUACGAGGUAAAUACUAGGUUUUAGAGUGAUCAAAGAUAUGAUUAUAUCAUGGAACUCCACAUUUUCAUGUAUCUUUUUGUUCUACAGGACUUUGCACAUUACAAGUCAGGAGUGUACAAGCACAUAACAGGUACUAACAUUGGAGGUCAUGCUGUUAAACUUAUUGGCUGGGGAACUUCUGAUGACGGUGAAGAUUAUUGGGUAUGAAUCCACUUUUGACGCUCUGGAUUUUGAGUUUAUUAGAUCUAGCCUAAAAAUUCACAACAUUUUCUGUUCUUUGAAUUGUUACAGUUGCUUGCAAAUCAAUGGAACCGAAGCUGGGGAGAUGUAAGUUCUUCUUCCUCCAAUCAAACUUUUAACUAUAACCUUCCAAGUGGCAACAUUAGAAUUCCAGAGAAACACACAGAACCUGAGAUAUAUAAUCUGAAAAUUUCAGGAUGGUUACUUCAAGAUCAGGAGAGGAACAAACGAAUGUGGCAUUGAACAUGGUGUUGUAGCUGGUUUACCUUCAGACAGGAACGUAUUUAAAGGUAUUACUACUUCAGAUGAUCUUCUUGUUUCCUCAUUUUAAACAGGAAGAUGUGUCUCUACUUCUUCUGUAAUACAUAAUUUGCCAGUGUGUUGUUGUUACCAAUGAAAUAAUUAAACGACUUUCGACCCAAAAAGAAGUCUAUUGUACAUAGCAUUUAGCUUUUUUUUUAUAUCCAAUAU
RNAcentral lists this long non-coding RNA (2875 nucleotides) under Arabidopsis lyrata. RNAcentral describes it as "long non-coding RNA (ALYR_LNC002932)". Lineage: Eukaryota; Viridiplantae; Streptophyta; Magnoliopsida; Brassicales; Brassicaceae. The record is from RNAcentral.